GUCUUCGUGGUGUAGUUGGUUAUCACGUCUGUCUAACACACAGACAGUCUGCGGUUCGAAUCCGCACGAAGACA
This 74-nucleotide transfer RNA is filed under the name Absidia glauca. It matches the Rfam family "tRNA". From Rfam's summary of the family: Transfer RNA (tRNA) molecules are approximately 80 nucleotides in length. Their secondary structure includes four short double-helical elements and three loops (D, anti-codon, and T loops). Further hydrogen bonds mediate the characteristic L-shaped molecular structure. tRNAs have two regions of fundamental functional importance: the anti-codon, which is responsible for specific mRNA codon recognition, and the 3' end, to which the tRNAs corresponding amino acid is attached (by aminoacyl-tRNA synthetases). tRNAs cope with the degeneracy of the genetic code in two manners: having more than one tRNA (with a specific anti-codon) for a particular amino acid; and 'wobble' base-pairing, i.e. permitting non-standard base-pairing at the 3rd anti-codon position. Lineage: Eukaryota; Fungi; Mucoromycota; Mucoromycetes; Mucorales; Cunninghamellaceae. The record is from Rfam by way of RNAcentral.